GGGCCGGUGGUCUAGCUGGUUAUGACGCAGCCCUUACAAGGCUGAGGUCGGGAGUUCGAAUCUCCCCUGGCCCA
RNAcentral lists this transfer RNA (74 nucleotides) under Candidatus Woesearchaeota archaeon. RNAcentral describes it as "tRNA-Val". It matches the Rfam family "tRNA". From Rfam's summary of the family: Transfer RNA (tRNA) molecules are approximately 80 nucleotides in length. Their secondary structure includes four short double-helical elements and three loops (D, anti-codon, and T loops). Lineage: Archaea; Nanobdellati; Candidatus Woesearchaeota. The record is from RNAcentral.